RNAcentral lists this ribosomal RNA (111 nucleotides) under Pseudomonas sp. Root71. The record is from RNAcentral. Lineage: Bacteria; Pseudomonadati; Pseudomonadota; Gammaproteobacteria; Pseudomonadales; Pseudomonadaceae.
CUUGACGACCAUAGAGCGUUGGAACCACCUGAUCCCAUCCCGAACUCAGCAGUGAAACGAUGCAUCGCCGAUGGUAGUGUGGGGUUUCCCCAUGUGAGAGUAGGUNGAAUU